Molecule: transfer RNA, 76 nt
Filed under: Clostridia bacterium
Lineage: Bacteria; Bacillati; Bacillota; Clostridia
Description: tRNA-Lys
Rfam family: tRNA
About the family: Transfer RNA (tRNA) molecules are approximately 80 nucleotides in length. Their secondary structure includes four short double-helical elements and three loops (D, anti-codon, and T loops). Further hydrogen bonds mediate the characteristic L-shaped molecular structure. tRNAs have two regions of fundamental functional importance: the anti-codon, which is responsible for specific mRNA codon recognition, and the 3' end, to which the tRNAs corresponding amino acid is attached (by aminoacyl-tRNA synthetases). tRNAs cope with the degeneracy of the genetic code in two manners: having more than one tRNA (with a specific anti-codon) for a particular amino acid; and 'wobble' base-pairing, i.e. permitting non-standard base-pairing at the 3rd anti-codon position.
Source: RNAcentral
GAUCCACUAGCUCAGCCGGUAGAGCACAUGACUUUUAAUCAUGGUGUCCGGAGUUCGAUUCUCAGGUGGAUCACCA